This 201-nucleotide unclassified non-coding RNA is filed under the name uncultured fungus. RNAcentral describes it as "sequence contains ITS1". The record is from RNAcentral. Lineage: Eukaryota; Fungi.
UUAACUAUUAUAUAGUACUCGGACGACACUAAUACUCAGGGUUUGGGGUCCUCUGGCGGGCGCUCGCCAGCGUGAGCCGGUGGCUAGGCCUGAGCCUAGCGGCCCGCCAAAGCAACAAAGGUAACGAUAGCAUAGGGUGGGAGGUCUACCCCGAAGGGCAUGAGCUCGGUAAUGAUCCCUCCGCAGGUUCACCUACGGAGA